This 62-nucleotide non-coding RNA is filed under the name unclassified sequences. RNAcentral describes it as "RAGATH-18 RNA". It matches the Rfam family "RAGATH-18 RNA". Rfam says of the family: Actinobacteria, Firmicutes, Fusobacteria, Thermotogae (1 example). The record is from Rfam by way of RNAcentral.
UCUGUGGAGUGCUAAACCAAACGAAAGUAGCCAAGGCUAAAUCGGGCACGGUGAAGCAAGAA